GAUGAACGCUGGCGGCGUGCCUAAUACAUGCAAGUCGAGCGAACGGACGAGAAGCUUGCUUCUCUGAUGUUAGCGGCGGACGGGUGAGUAACACGUGGAUAACCUACCUAUAAGACUGGGAUAACUUUGGGAAACCGGAGCUAAUACCGGAUAAUAUUUUGAACCGCAUGGUUCAAAAGUGAAAGACGGUCUUGCUGUCACUUAUAGAUGGAUCCGCGCUGCAUUAGCUAGUUGGUAAGGUAACGGCUUACCAAGGCAACGAUGCAUAGCCGACCUGAGAGGGUGGUUGGCCACACUGGAAGUGAGGCACGGUACACACUCCGGCGGGAGGCAGCAGUACGGAAUCUUCCGCGAUGGAGGAGAGCCUGACAGAGCAACGCCGCGUGAAGGAUGAAGGUGUUCGGAUCGGAAAACUCUGUUAUUAGGGAAGAAGAUAUGUGUAAGUAACUGUGCACAUCUUGACGGUACCUAAUCAGAAAGCCACGGCUAACUACGUG
Molecule: ribosomal RNA, 497 nt
Filed under: uncultured bacterium
Lineage: Bacteria
Description: partial 16S ribosomal RNA
Rfam family: Bacterial small subunit ribosomal RNA
Source: RNAcentral